AAAAAAAAAAAAAACUUUCAGAAAUUGCAUUCACCACCGCAUUGCUGAUCCAACAAGAAGGUUAAUAAAAAUUUCUCAUAUCGUAAUAUAUUGUAUUCAACAGUCCAAUCAAUUGUGCUUAUAAACCCAAUAACAUGCUUAGAAAUUUCAUGAGCAACUAAUAACUAGUGCUAGGUUAUGUAUAUACUACACGAUUGAUGUCUUCUCCUUCUUCUCUCCUUCUCCUUCUUCCUUAAUGAAAUUUUCAUUUACAGUAAAGUUGAAAAUCACAAUGGAUCCAGAAUUCAGGUCUGCACCAGUACGUUUUAGACAAUCAUCUCUGCUGUCGAAAGAAAAAGAAAAGGAUAGGGUCCCUGUGUUUAGCUGAUUUUGGCUCGAAAGGACAAAAACCUUUGGAUCGGCUCCACUUCACAGCGACGCUGCUUUUCCGGUGGAGAUCAUAGAUAUGCGCAAGAGCCACUACAAUAGUUUGAAAGAUAAAGGCCCACGCACCGGAAAGCCUCCCUCUCGGCUAUCCCUUAAAGUAUAACACCGGGGACAGACCGGAAAGCUUCUCGCAUCGGAUUUCAGCUAAAGUAAAGGGCUAGAUUUUGUUCCUGGAUCAUCUCUCUUUUUCUUGUUUUCGUCUUUGAACUUGGUAGUUAAAGUAUAUGAUAAAACCAAAAAAAAAAGUGUUAGUUAAAGCAAGAUACCCUACAGACAUAAAUUAUGGAAUUCCUUUAACCAGCAGGAACAGCAGAUAAUGCUU
Molecule: long non-coding RNA, 748 nt
Filed under: Populus tremula
Lineage: Eukaryota; Viridiplantae; Streptophyta; Magnoliopsida; Malpighiales; Salicaceae
Description: long non-coding RNA (PTRE_LNC001514)
Source: RNAcentral